Molecule: long non-coding RNA, 963 nt
Organism: Osmerus eperlanus (European smelt)
Lineage: Eukaryota; Metazoa; Chordata; Actinopteri; Osmeriformes; Osmeridae
Exons: 2
Source: RefSeq, a predicted model, not a curated record
GGGUUAGGCUCAGAGUUUGUAAAACCUGCUUUCUGGAAUACACCUCUGAUGAUAAGAGAGAAACAACAUGUUUACUUAGAAAGUCAGUUGCUAAGUCACUUAUCAACAGGUGAAGUGUAUUUUCAUCAUUCCUCUGCUUAUCCCUACAGUGUGGAUCAUGGUGGACAGUGCAGGAUCAAACCUGUCCCUAGGAGAUAUGCCUGUGAGCUCACACUGAACCCAAACACAGCACACAGAUAGCUCUCUCUGUCUGAGGAGAACAGAAAGAUGACAUGGAGGAGAGAGAAGCAGCCGUAUCUUGAUCACCAAGAGAGAUUUGAGAACUGGCCACAGGUGCUGUGUAGAGAGGGUCUGUCUGGGCGCUGUUACUGGGAGGCAGAGUGGAGUGGAAGAAGGGUUUCUAUAGCAGUGACAUAUAAAGGAAUCAGCAGGAGAGGAAGAGGUGAUGACUGUCUGCUUGGAUACAAUAACAAGUCCUGGAGUCUGUUGUGUAGUGAUAACAGUUACUCUGCCUGUCACAAUGAGAAGAGAACUGUCGUACCUUCCCCCCCCCUCCAGCUCCCACAGAGUAGGAGUGUAUCUGGACUGGCCGGCCGGCACUCUGUCCUUCUACACAGUCUCCUCUGACACACUGACCCACCUGCACACAUUCCACAGCACAUUCACUGAGCCCCUCUAUCCUGGGUUCAGGAUUUGGUCUGACUCUUCAGUGUCCCUGUGUCAGGUAGAAUUGCCCACACACUCACACACUGUGCUCACAUAGAUGUCAUUGAAGAUUGAACUGUAUACAGUUGGAAUUGAUAUCCCAGAGUGUUUGUAAAUAUUGGUGUGUGUAGAAUGUUUGUUUUGUUUUAAUUGUUGACAAACAACAAUCCUGUCUUUGAUCUCAGUUCCACUGAAUGUGAUGAACUAAAUAGUGUCUAACUGACUAAAUAAGGAGAAAUAAAGAUGUUUUAUACAGGA